This 396-nucleotide ribosomal RNA is filed under the name uncultured bacterium. RNAcentral describes it as "partial 16S ribosomal RNA". It matches the Rfam family "Bacterial small subunit ribosomal RNA", at positions 338 to 732 of the family's 1533-position model. The record is from RNAcentral.
CCUACGGGAGGCAGCAGUGAGGAAUAUUGGUCAAUGGGCGGGAGCCUGAACCAGCCAAGUCGCGUGAGGGAUGACGGCCCUAUGGGUUGUAAACCUCUUUUGCCGGGGAGCAAAGUGCCGCACGUGUGCGGUUUGGAGAGUACCCGGAGUACAAGCAUCGGCUAACUCCGGGCCAGCCCCCGCGGUAAUACGGAGGAGGCGAGCGUUAUCGGUAUCUGUUGGGGUUAAAGGGUGCGUAGGCGGACGCUUAAGUUAGCAGGAAAAUUGCGGGGCUAAACCUCGCCGAGCCGUUGAAACUGGGUGGCUGGAGUGGGCGAGAAGGACGCAGAAUGCGUGGUGUAGCGGUGAAAUGCAUAGAGAUGACGAAGAACUACGAUUGCGAAGGCAGCGUACCGG